GCGGGAAUAGCUCAGUUGGUAGAGCCCCGGAUUGUGAUUCCGGUUGUCGCGGGUUCAAGACCCGUUUCUCGCC
This 73-nucleotide transfer RNA is filed under the name Bathymodiolus thermophilus thioautotrophic gill symbiont. RNAcentral's name for it is "tRNA-His-GTG". It matches the Rfam family "tRNA". From Rfam's summary of the family: Transfer RNA (tRNA) molecules are approximately 80 nucleotides in length. The record is from RNAcentral. RNAcentral also lists the same sequence under 3 other names. Lineage: Bacteria; Pseudomonadati; Pseudomonadota; Gammaproteobacteria.